ACAUGAGGUUUUAUGAUUCGGCUUUAAGGUAGGUAGAUGAGUGAUGAUUCUACCACUAAUUCUCACUAAACACUUGUGCACAUUACUUUAUUUUGAAUGAAUAAAUGAAACAUAUUGGUGAUAAAAUGCACUAAUAUCCACUCUUUGUAGGCAUGGAGUUGAGAAGAUCAAAAGAUGUAGAUUGGAGCUUAAAAUGAUCAAUAGGGAGCCUGAAAAGUGCAAUUGAAGACUUGUAGUAGAAAGGCCUCAGAUACCGUGGUCGCGGUUUAUAGACCAUGAUCGUGGCAGUCAAGCAGAAGUCAUCCAACCGCGAUUGCGGAAGUUACCCGCAGUCACGCAACCGUGGUCGCAGGUAGACCCGCGUAAUCACGGCUUAGUACACUGUCACAUAUACCCCCAACCAAGAAAAUAUUAUUUCUAGUAUUG
This 426-nucleotide long non-coding RNA is filed under the name Capsicum annuum. Its description in RNAcentral is "long non-coding RNA (CANN_LNC014026)". The record is from RNAcentral. Lineage: Eukaryota; Viridiplantae; Streptophyta; Magnoliopsida; Solanales; Solanaceae.